This is a non-coding RNA of Brassica rapa (field mustard), 94 nucleotides long. The record is from Rfam. Lineage: Eukaryota; Viridiplantae; Streptophyta; Magnoliopsida; Brassicales; Brassicaceae.
GGAAUAUAAGAAACCGUCUCUUAACUUUUAACUAAAAAAGUUAAGAAUUCUUAACUUUUUUAGUUAAAAGUUAAGAGACGGUUUCUUAUAUUCC